CGGAGGAGCGGCGCGAGAGAGCGCGAGAUAGCGGCGGCCGGACAACCGACACACAAAGAGAGCGGUCAGGAAUCCGGCCGAGGUUUCGGUACGUAACUGGAAUGCGGGGAGGGACGCGGGACGAGAAAAAGAAAGAGGAGGAAGCAUCGAAGGAAUCGGCCAAGAGAUUGUUUCGUGCACCUUCUUUCCCUUUGCUCCGGUCGGUUAACACUUUGCCUACCGGAAGCUUAUUAAAUAGGCUUUUUAUCGGGCAGCUCUUAGCGACCGCGCUAGGCCUACUAAACGGUUUUUUCCUGCUGGCCGGCCGGCCACGCAGUGGGACAUCUGACCCGAAACUGCGGUCACCGCUACUUUAAAAGUAGCCCGAUCUUCGAACACCCGUCACUUUUUCAACGUUCGUCCAAACUCGACGAACCGCAUACCGUUUUAAUGCUUGAGAAUUUAUACUUUUCGACGAUGUAUGGGGUUAUAAAAUAAAAACGAAGGAAUGACAUUAGACGAAGAGAAGACAAUCGCAGGCGAAGAACUUUCAGACGCAUAAUUCUUGUUAAAAAAUGCAUCGAUGAUUAAUGCUCCACUGUUUCAAAUCAAGCAAAGUCCAUUUCCAGGCCUAUGACUGCGACGAAUAAAUCGAUAAAUAAAUUUCCAGGCGACGAAUAAAUGCACUUUGCAUAAAACAAAGAACAGCAACGUGAACAUUGAUAAUGUAAACAGUUCCCUCAAAUAAUUCAUUAGCAUGGAUUUACUUCACCAAGAUACGACGAAUGCGAGCAUGCAAGCAUGCGAGAAACUCCGCGAUUCUCGAUGGUCGACUUUAUCGUAAAUCGACUAUGAAACACACGGGCUGUUUUCUUCGCGGAAACCGCGACAUUUCUAGUGAAUCAAAGAACGUUGCCAGAUAGCGCGCGCGCGCGCACGAUUUCGGAGGAAAUUUUUCGCAGAGGCGCGCGGCCACGGAAAGGGUUUCGAGGGGUGGAAAGGGGAGGGGGGCUACGGACGAGGCUCUCUCUACCUGCGGUCGAAGCAAGGUGCAUUCCUCCGCAGCGGCGGUUCUCCUGCGGGCCGACGAACGCACAAACCCACGCACGCGAGAGGCAAUAUCAAAGGGGCCGAUGUUUCACGAGCGUACACCGACGUGAGAAUGGUCGCGUGCAUCUUGCCCCUACGUAUGUACUACCUACGAGUGUCGUCGCGCGUAUCUUGCGCUGGCAUCUCCCUGCUCGCGAUCCCCUUUUCACCCUCUUCGUCGUCCCCCCGCCCCCCUUUUUCCCUCCGCUCGGCGAUCACGUUCCUUCCAGAUUACGCGUAGCCACCGUCGAAUUUUAUCAUAACCUACCAUCGAUCUAGCAGCUUGCGCGAUAAAUUCCCUCGCGUGUCUUCAAACAAAAAUCGACUCCGCUCGACAUAACCUUCUCACGCUCCCCAGAAGUAGAAAUGUUCGCAUCUUUUUAAUUUUCUUUUUUUUUCUUACGCUUUCUUUUCGAAAACCGUGACUUCCGCUCGGCUUCGUUUUCAAUACAUUUUGUACAGUGACUGUCACCUAACCUUUAAAGGACCAUGAGGUUGCUAGGCGUGAAUAUUAGUAUGUAACUGUUCGUUUUAGUUUGUUUCGACGUAAAAUAAACAAAAAUCGUACGAAGAAUA
Non-coding RNA from Megalopta genalis, 1644 nucleotides. The record is from RefSeq and is a predicted model, not a curated record. Lineage: Eukaryota; Metazoa; Arthropoda; Insecta; Hymenoptera; Halictidae.